Molecule: long non-coding RNA, 451 nt
Filed under: Mytilus galloprovincialis (Mediterranean mussel)
Lineage: Eukaryota; Metazoa; Mollusca; Bivalvia; Mytilida; Mytilidae
Source: RNAcentral
AUACCACUCCUUUAGCCCCCCACAAAAAAAAAAAAAAUUAUCUUCAAUUUUUGACCCCCCAUUUUAAAGAAAAAAACCCCUUUUUACAUCCAAAAUAAAAAUUUUACCAACAUUUUUGUGUGAUUUUUAACUUCAAAAUUAAGAAGAAAAAAACACACUUUGUAUUUAUACCCCCCAUAAAAAAAAAAAAAAUUUUUUUUGUAAAGAGCACACCAAAACCUUAAUCCUGGGGUUUUUUAUAAAACUCAUUUUUUCCCCUAAGGGGAGUAGUAUAGUACUUGAACGACUCCAGCGCCCCCCCCUCCAAAAAAAAAAAAAAUUUGACCCCCAAAAAAUUACCCUCAUUUCAAGUAAAAGAGCCCUAAAUUUUCAUAAAAAAAAAAGCAAAAAAACACCCCAAAAAACACCAAAUUUUCUUACUCCCAAAAAAAAUUUUUUUUUUACUUUUUUA